AGGCGUGUAAAAGCUGGGAGAGCAUCUGCCUUACAAGCAGAGGGUCAGCGGUUCGAUCCCGUUAACUCCCA
RNAcentral lists this transfer RNA (71 nucleotides) under Streptococcus pneumoniae. Its description in RNAcentral is "tRNA-Pseudo-TAC". It matches the Rfam family "tRNA", at positions 14 to 71 of the family's 71-position model. From Rfam's summary of the family: Transfer RNA (tRNA) molecules are approximately 80 nucleotides in length. Their secondary structure includes four short double-helical elements and three loops (D, anti-codon, and T loops). Further hydrogen bonds mediate the characteristic L-shaped molecular structure. tRNAs have two regions of fundamental functional importance: the anti-codon, which is responsible for specific mRNA codon recognition, and the 3' end, to which the tRNAs corresponding amino acid is attached (by aminoacyl-tRNA synthetases). tRNAs cope with the degeneracy of the genetic code in two manners: having more than one tRNA (with a specific anti-codon) for a particular amino acid; and 'wobble' base-pairing, i.e. permitting non-standard base-pairing at the 3rd anti-codon position. Lineage: Bacteria; Bacillati; Bacillota; Bacilli; Lactobacillales; Streptococcaceae. The record is from RNAcentral.